CGCGCAGGCGGGUGCGGAAGUCGGGGGUGAAAGGCCGGGGCUCAACCCCGGACCGUUCUCUCGAUACUCCGUGCCUAGGGACCUGUAGAGGCCAGUGGAAUUCCCGGAGUAGCGGUGGAAUGCGUAGAGAUCGGGAAGAACACCAGAGGCGAAGGCGACUGGCUGGGCCGGAUCCGACGCUCAGGCGCGAAAGCGUGGGGAGCAAACA
This 208-nucleotide ribosomal RNA is filed under the name uncultured bacterium. RNAcentral describes it as "partial 16S ribosomal RNA". It matches the Rfam family "Bacterial small subunit ribosomal RNA", at positions 568 to 774 of the family's 1533-position model. The record is from RNAcentral.